This 68-nucleotide transfer RNA is filed under the name Marmota monax (woodchuck). RNAcentral describes it as "tRNA.Ala". The record is from RNAcentral. Lineage: Eukaryota; Metazoa; Chordata; Mammalia; Rodentia; Sciuridae.
GGGUUGUGGCUCAGCAGUAUAGCACUUGCCUAGCACGUGCAAGGCCCUGGGUUCGAUCCUCAGCCCCA